AUUGAACGCUGGCGGAAUGCUUUACACAUGCAAGUCGAACGGUAGAGGGGGCAACCCCUCGAGAGUGGCGAACGGGUGAGUAAUAUAUCGGAACGUGCCCAGUCGUGGGGGAUAACGUAGCGAAAGUUACGCUAAUACCGCAUAUGAUCUAAGGAUGAAAGCGGGGGAUCGCAAGAACUCGCGCGAUUGGAGCGGCCGAUAUCAGAUUAGGUAGUUGGUGGGGUAAAGGCGGACCAAGCCAACGAUUUGUAGAUGGUCUGAGAGGACGACCGGCCACACUGGAACUGAGAGACGGUCCAGACGCGUACGGGAGGCAGCAGUGGGGAAUUUUGGACAAUGGACGCAAGUCUGAUCCAGCCAUUCCGCGUGCAGGAUGAAGGCCCUCGGGUUGUAAACUGCUUUUGUACGGAACGAAAAGGUCUCUCUUAAUACGGGGGACUCAUGACGGUACCGUAAGAAUAAGCACCGGCUAACUACGUGCCAGCCGCCGCAGUAA
RNAcentral lists this ribosomal RNA (496 nucleotides) under uncultured bacterium. RNAcentral's name for it is "partial 16S ribosomal RNA". It matches the Rfam family "Bacterial small subunit ribosomal RNA", at positions 30 to 523 of the family's 1533-position model. The record is from RNAcentral.